AGUGAACGCUGGCGGUAGGCCUAACACAUGCAAGUCGAACGGCAGCACAGUAAGAGCUUGCUCUUACGGGUGGCGAGUGGCGGACGGGUGAGGAAUACAUCGGAAUCUACUUUUUCGUGGGGGAUAACGUAGGGAAACUUACGCUAAUACCGCAUACGACCUACGGGUGAAAGCAGGGGAUCUUCGGACCUUGCGCGAUUGAAUGAGCCGAUGUCGGGUUAGCUAGUUGGCGGGGUAAAGGCCCACCAAGGCGACGAUCCGUAGCUGGUCUGAGAGGAUGAUCAGCCACACUGGAACUGAGACACGGUCCAGACUCCUACGGGAGGCAGCAGUGGGGAAUAUUGGACAAUGGGCGCAAGCCUGAUCCAGCCAUACCGCGUGGGUGAGGAAGGCCUUCGGGUUGUAAAGCCCUUUUGUUGGGAAAGAAAAGCAGCAGGUUAAUACCCCGCUGUUCUGACGGUACCCAAAGAAUAAGCACCGGCUAACUUCGUG
Molecule: ribosomal RNA, 492 nt
Filed under: uncultured bacterium
Lineage: Bacteria
Description: partial 16S ribosomal RNA
Rfam family: Bacterial small subunit ribosomal RNA
Source: RNAcentral